GAAUUUCCUUCGGGAUGAAUAAAAUACUAUCUUAUCUUAUCUGAAUCUCUGUUGUAGGAUAACGUUAGCCUAUGACAAAAUUGCCAGCUAGCAUUCAGAUUUCUGACCAUGCUUUGAUUAACGUCAACAUUACCUUAUAUUAUGUAUAUUGUGCUUCGAUUCUAACUUGUAAUAAAACGGAGAUAUCAUAGUUAGUCUACACCGUUUUUCUCUACUGUCAUUAAGUCUACAUUCUGAGCUGGAAUGUCAAUUGCUUAUCAGUGUGAAAUAUCUAGCUGAGUUCUGAUUGAGAACGCCAUUUUAUUAACAUUAAUGUUAAUCCCUUCAUUGUGCACAGAAGCUUGAAAUUCCAGUCAUUUAGCCUUGCUUUAUGUUUCCAGGCAAAACUUUAGGUACGUUGGGAGAGACGUCUACAGGUAUUCGUCCUUAAAAGCUCAUUUUUAUCGCCUUCACACUGGCAAAUCGUUGUUUACACAAGAUUUGACUGUAGAAGCUUUGAAAUGCACCGUUUCCCUAUAUCAGACCAUCUAGAACAGGACACAACACCCUGCUUACAUUUGAAGGAGGGCUAGGACACACAAGAGACCUGUAGGCCCACUAUGCUGCAGCACGAACGACUGGGUCGACUUAGGAUUGAGUCCCCUCUCUGCCAGAAAUUAUCACUGUGUUCAAGGAAGACCCAGGCCCAAAUAAAGCUGCUAUGUCUAAGGUCAGCCCCUUUUCCUCAGCUUUUCAAGUUGGCAGUCAUCUAAUAUUAAAGACCAAGCCAAAGUCCCGC
Alosa alosa (allis shad) is the source of this 778-nucleotide long non-coding RNA. RefSeq lists it as uncharacterized. The record is from RefSeq and is a predicted model, not a curated record. The transcript is spliced from 7 exons. Lineage: Eukaryota; Metazoa; Chordata; Actinopteri; Clupeiformes; Clupeidae.